UUCUUCGGGGUUGGGUGAAAUUCCCUACCGGCGGUAUAGUCCGCGACCUGUUUCUGCAAGAAAUAUUCCGAAUGGAAUGGAACAGAAAUGGCUGAUUUGGUGCAAUUCCAAAACCGACAGUAAAGUCUGGAUGAGAGAAGAA
RNAcentral lists this non-coding RNA (142 nucleotides) under human gut metagenome. RNAcentral's name for it is "FMN riboswitch (RFN element)". It matches the Rfam family "FMN riboswitch aptamer (RFN element)". From Rfam's summary of the family: The RFN element is a highly conserved domain that is found frequently in the 5'-untranslated regions of prokaryotic mRNAs that encode for flavin mononucleotide (FMN) biosynthesis and transport proteins. The record is from RNAcentral.